CUAUAUGAUUCUAAUUCAACCAGUAGCUUAGAUGCACAUUCAAAUGACUUGGCAUGUUUCUCUUCCAUCAAACCAUUUUCACAUGAUGUUGCACGCUUAAACAGAGAUUUGACUUCCGUCUUCAUGUUCUUACACGUACAUCAAUCUAAUAUCCAAAUUCAAAAAAAAAUAAAUUCUUAUCUUGCUCAAAUAACAAGGUUUUUAUGUAUCAAUGUAUAAUUCAUGAAAAAAUGAUGACUUACAUUUGACUCAUAAUUACACAGAAUAAUGCAUACAAAUUUGACUAUAUAACUGACAUACCUAUAAAGCUCCUCUGCUAAUGAGUAUUUAUCUUGUUGCAAGUAGACCCAGGCCAAGUUCCCUAGCAACAUGCGUCAUAGAAUCAUGAAAAAUAAGACAUAUUCUAUAAUAAAGAACUCAUAUUAAAAUGAGUUAUAUAUUGCAUAAAUUCAUAAAUGAGAGAGUUAUUAAAACACUAUGAUCGAUAGUUAUAUAUAUAUAUUUCUUAUCUUCCUUUAAUCUCUUUUAUAUAUUUUUAUCUUUUAUAGUUAUAUUUUUUGGAAGUUAUAAGUAAAAAUAUAAAAAGACAUAAUUAUUGUUAAAUUCUACACUGUGCACACCAAAUAGUUUGAAUUCACAAGACUAUAAGAAAAUUUGAGUGACAAACUUACUUGUGCUUUUAUAAUAUACCAAGAACAACCUCACCACGAAGUGUACUGCAAUGAAAUAAUAUAGAUCAAUAACAAAAUCAAUUCAAAUAUAUUAUAAUAAAAGAAACUUAUACAAGUUUUUGUUUCGUGCACAAGAAUAUAGAUCUUUCUUGAAACAUAUCGAAUUUGAUGACAUAACUUUAAGAAAUUAAUUAUAUAAAAUAAAUGCACUCUAAUGAAAUCUACAAAUUCAAUUGGAAUAACUUUAAGGUAAUUUAAUCACCGUAAACAUCUAGAGAAAGUAAGCAACAUAUUUUAGACGUACUAGAAAAUUUGUAGAUCUAAUAAUCGUAGAUCUAAUUAAAAUCUAAUUAUACUAAGAUAUCUUUUAAACAAAUGAAAAAGUUAUAUAACAUUGAAAAUUAUUUAAAAAUAAUGAUAGAUCUAACAAUAUUAAAUUGAUCCUCAAUAAAUAAUUAAAAGAGAUUUCAUCAGUAUAGAGGAAGUAAAAGAUCUAAGCAGUUAAACGAAUAUAUAAAUGAUUGUAAUAUAUAAACCUGAUGAUUGAGUUUAAAAUCAUCUUCAUCAUUUGAUUCAUCAUCAUUAGUAUCUCUCAUAUCAUUUAUGCUGACUCCAGAAAUAAUCAUCUCGAGUUUAAGAAGAA
RNAcentral lists this long non-coding RNA (1314 nucleotides) under Daucus carota (carrot). Its description in RNAcentral is "long non-coding RNA (DCAR_LNC001219)". Lineage: Eukaryota; Viridiplantae; Streptophyta; Magnoliopsida; Apiales; Apiaceae. The record is from RNAcentral.